RNAcentral lists this ribosomal RNA (190 nucleotides) under uncultured bacterium. Its description in RNAcentral is "partial 16S ribosomal RNA". It matches the Rfam family "Bacterial small subunit ribosomal RNA", at positions 338 to 525 of the family's 1533-position model. The record is from RNAcentral.
UCUACGGGAGGCAGCAGUGAGGAAUAUUGGUCAAUGGGCGGAAGCCUGAACCAGCCACGCCGCGUGCAGGACGACGGCCCUACGGGUUGUAAACUGCUUUUCCCCGGGAAGGAUAAGCCCCUCGUGAGGGGUGAUGCCGGUACCGGGGGAAUAAGGAUCGGCUAACUCCGUGCCAGCAGCCGCGGUAAUA